RNAcentral lists this ribosomal RNA (468 nucleotides) under uncultured bacterium. RNAcentral's name for it is "partial 16S ribosomal RNA". It matches the Rfam family "Bacterial small subunit ribosomal RNA", at positions 28 to 507 of the family's 1533-position model. The record is from RNAcentral.
GACGAACGCUGGCGGCGUGCUUAACACAUGCAAGUCGAACGGAAAGGCCCUGCUUUUGUGGGGUGCUCGAGUGGCGAACGGGUGAGUAGCACGUGAGUAACCUGCCCUUGACUUUGGGAUAACUUCAGGAAACUGGGGCUAAUACCGGAUAGGAGCUCCUGCUGCAUGGUGGGGGUUGGAAAGUUUCGGCGGUUGGGGAUGGACUCGCGGCUUAUCAGCUUGUUGGUGGGGUAGUGGCUUACCAAGGCUUUGACGGGUAGCCGGCCUGAGAGGGUGACCGGCCACAUUGGGCCUGCGAUACGGCCCAGACUCCUACGGGAGGCAGCAGUGGGGAAUAUUGCACAAUGGGCGGAAGCCUGAUGCAGCAACGCCGCGUGCGGGAUGACGGCCUUCGGGUUGUAAACCGCUUUCGCCUGUGACGAAGCGUGAGUGACGGUAAUGGGUAAAGAAGCACCGGCUAACUACGUG